This 793-nucleotide ribosomal RNA is filed under the name uncultured archaeon. RNAcentral's name for it is "bacterial SSU rRNA". It matches the Rfam family "Archaeal small subunit ribosomal RNA", at positions 85 to 878 of the family's 1478-position model. The record is from RNAcentral.
ACUGCUCAGUAACACGUGGACAACCUACCCUUAGGCCUGGGAUAAACCUGGGAAACUGGGUAUAAUACCGGAUAGGUCUCGAAUGCUGGAAUGCAUCGAGGCCCAAAGCUCCGGCGCCUAAGGAUGGGUCUGCGGCCUAUCAGGGUAGUAGUGGGUGUAAUGUACCUACUAGCCUACGACGGGUACGGGUCGUGAGAGCGAGAGCCCGGAGAUGGAUUCUGAGACACGAAUCCAGGCCCUACGGGGUGCAGCAGGCGCGAAAACUUUACAAUGCUGGAAACAGCGAUAGGGGGACUUUGAGUGCCAGGAUACAAUUCUGGCUGUCGUCGUGCCUAAAAAGCACGGCAUAGCAAGGGCCGGGCAAGACCGGUGCCAGCCGCCGCGGUAACACCGGCGGCUCGAGUGGUAACCGCUAUUAUUGGGUCUAAAGGGUCUGUAGCCGGCUGGAUAAGUCUCUUGGGAAAUCCGGUAGCUUAACUAUCGGGCUUUCAGGAGAUACUGUCCGGCUCGAGACCGGGAGAGGUGAGAGGUACUUCAGGGGUAGGGGUGAAAUCUUGUAAUCCUUGAAGGACCACCAGUGGCGAAGGCGUCUCACCAGAACGGAUCUGACGGCAAGGGACGAAAGCUAGGGGCACGAACCGGAUUAGAUACCCGGGUAGUCCUAGCCGUAAACGAUACUCGCUAGGUGUCGGCCACGGUGCGACCGUGGUCGGUGCCGUAGGGAAACCGUGAAGCGAGCCACCUGGGAAGUACGGCCGCAAGGCUGAAACUUAAAGGAAUUGGCGGGGGAGCA